Danaus plexippus (monarch butterfly) is the source of this 2980-nucleotide RNA transcript. RefSeq lists it as uncharacterized. The record is from RefSeq and is a predicted model, not a curated record. The transcript has 13 exons. NCBI's taxonomy places the organism in Eukaryota, Metazoa, Arthropoda, Insecta, Lepidoptera, Nymphalidae.
CGUUCCAACGCGCGCACGUCGCUCGCAGCCGGCCAUUGUCAAACCAAGCGUGAAUCUGUGAAAACCGUAACAUUGCCUAUUAUAUUUAGAACAGUGAACAAGUGUCUGCAAUGACAAAUAGCGAGUGAUAUUAAACAAUGUUCAUUUAUAAGUUUUGAAUCCUGAAAUGUUUCCGUGUUGAAAUUGCACAGGCUGCUCGGUUGAUUUAAAAGGUGGCAAUGUACGCAGCAUCUAGCACGUCUACAGCGACGUCAGUAUCUCGCGAGAUGACAGCCGGGGCGACGGAGAGGCGCGUACGAGUCGUCCGUCUACUGCGACCGCGCAAGGCCGCUCCGGCGUUUGGAUUCUCAUUGCGCGGCGGGCGGGAGUAUGCGACUGGCUUCUUUAUAUCGAAAGUGGACCUCAAUUCGGAGGCCCAUCUCCAAGGGUUAAAGGUCGGCGACCAGGUGGUUAGCGUCAACGGCUAUCGGGUGGAUGACGCGGUGCAUGCUGAGCUGGUUCAUUACAUCACUUCACAGUCUCGGCUCAAAAUUAAAGUUAGACAUGUGGGGAUGAUUCCUGUUAAAGAUAAGGAGCACGAGGCUCUAUCGUGGCAGUUCGUCUCUGAACGAGCGUCUUUGGCUUCAGAUGUGUCCUCAUCGCCGACUCUCUGCCAUAACACAGAACAUUUGACGGACUUGCGACUGUCAAUACUUGUACCACCAAGAGCAAAGCUUGGCUGCGGUAUAUGUAAAGGACCGGAAUGGAAACCAGGAAUUUUUGUUCAAUUUGUUAGAGAAGGCGGUAUCGCGCGAGAAGCCGGUUUACGGCCCGGUGACCAGAUUAUGUCCUGUAAUGGCCAUGAUUUCUCGAACAUAUCUUUCAACGAGGCCAUAUCAGCGAUGAAAGCAAGCGGUCGACUCGAGCUGGUAGUGCGUGAAGGCGCUGGUACAGAGCUGGUUUCGCCUGAAAGCUCCGGAUAUAAUAGCUCUGCGUCAUCCGCUGCUGGUGAGAGGAGCCCUGCGCCACCAGUGCCACUAGCGCCGCCAGCAGCUCUGAGAAGACGACUCGCCAGCGUCGCCGAGGAAGCUGCUGAUAGAGCCGAUAGGCUAACAAUGAAUCGAAUUAAAAGACGAACAUGGGACUGUUUAGAUUUCGACUGGAAAAAUAACGACAUUCAUAAUUUUGACGCACCCUCCGAUAUUGAGCCAGAUUAUGACAGUCCUAGUAUACCAAAUAACCCUCAUACUUAUGAAAGCAAAUCAAACAUUAGAAGUAAAUCUAAAACAGACAUAGAAACAACAAAAAUACCCAGCCAAAUGAAUAGGACCAUCAUAAAUUUAACAGAAGAUGGUGCAACUAUUCAAUGCAGUUACGACAACAACAAUUCUAGAAAAGGUCCAUUUACUACAAGUCAAACGAAUAGAGAGAACGAAAAGACGAUUGUUGUGGAAGUUCAUCACAUGAACACCGUCCCAUGCUCUAAGACGGUUGGUAAUUUCGGUCAAACAAAAAAGGACGUUGAGACGGACGCCACCAGCAUAACGAGUUCGGCUACACUAUCCAGUGCCAUCGCUGAUGAAAUACAGAGGAGGAAAUUAAAUAAGAAACCUGAUAUAGAAAAGGAAAUCAAACAAGUCCCGGUUAAGAAAACGAGCAUCCCAAAGGCAAUAGACAAUGACCAAAAAAAACAUCACGACGCCCUGAUGGAUGAAUUCAAAAAGGUCCAUAGGAAAAUGUUUGCAAAUCUUGAAGGAAAAAGUGAAGUUAAUAAUAGUGAAAAACAAACAGAUAAUAUGGAUCGCCAGUCAACGAUCCCUCUUAGAAAAAUCGAAUCAGUGCCAGCAGAAUUACUCAACAAGGAUAAAGAAACGCCUGAAAAACGGGAGAAGAAGGCUCCGCCACCGCCUCCGCCGAUGCCAAUAGAAAAUGGACACCAUAAUCAUAAUGGAGAACUCAUCACAAACAAUCACAUCAACGACAAUAUGAAAAGUCCAGAAAUAAUGAAAGUGCCGAAUUUAAGAAAAGUUGGUUCUUUAACUCGAAUACCAACACCUGAUUAUAAUAAAUCGGACAGUCCCGUACAGCUUCGAGUGAAGACCGUUAAGGAAGAGAAUGCUGAAGUAGAAUCUUUAGAAUCAUAUAAACUAAAAAAUCCACUUAACAUUCAACCAAAGCCGCCGUCUCAUUACUUCAUCAAAGCACCUAAUGGAACUGCGACCAUGAAGAAACAUGUGCGACCAGUAUCGGUUACAAUAGGGGAAUAUGUCAACAACGUAGGUCGCAAAGAGCCGGCCAAGUUAGACUUCCUAAACGGAGACAAGAUAGACGGGCAUAGAGCAGCUCAUGAUGAACCUAUCACAAGUAGACUUCAAUCCGAAUUGGCUCUCACAUUGUCUAGAUCAAAUUUACGUAAAAAGACUGAAGCUUUGGUUCACGCUUCCUAUAAAAAAAAACUUAUAUUGAACAUAAAUUCGAACGAUGAAAACUUUCACGCUAGAUACGGCAACAACCUUUUACCAUUACCGCCAUCGAUAUCGAUACCAAAAAUUACCAAAAUAAAUAUCUAAUUUAUUUUUUGCUUUAAAUAAAAACUAAAAUCAGCUUAAUAUGACCGAGUGAUGGCGACGGAGGUCGUUAGGAAGCCUAAAGAAAUGAAAGUUCUUUUAAAUGUAUGAACAUUUGUUUAUUAUAGUUAUUGGAAUUAAAGGAAAUGAAAUAAAUCGAAAUAUGUUUUAAAUGUAAUUUUUAUCGAUAAAAUAAGCCAAAUCCUUUGUAACACCAUGUUUUAAUGUGAUUUAUUAAAAAAUAUAUACUUACGGAUAUGUUGUUGUGUGUCAAUGUAUUUAUAAAUAUUAGUGCUAUAUUGUGUAUCUUUUAUAGUAAUUUUAUGCUCUGAGUUACAAUUAAUGCAAAAAUAUUUUGGUAAAAACUGUAUCAUACCAAAGUUCUUUUGUAUUAAAUAGGAACUUUUGAAUUAAAAGAACACUGAAACUGAUAA